UCUUCCCUCUUUCUUCGUGCUUAACACAUGCAAGUCGAACGGAAAGGCCCUGCUUUUGUGCGGUUCUCGAUUGGCGAACGGGUGAGUAUCACGUGAGUAACCUGCCCUUGAAUUUGGGAUAACUUCAGGAAACAGGGGCUAAUAUCGGAUAGGAGCUCCUGCUCCGUGGUGGGGGUUGGAAAGUUUCGGCGGUUGGGGCUGGACUCGCGGCUUAUCAGCUUGUUGGUGGGGUAGUGGCUUUCCAAGGCUAUGAAGGGUAGCCGGCCUGAGAGGGUGACCGGCCACAUUGGUACUGAGGUACGGCCCAGACGCGUACGGGAGGCAACAGGGGGGAAUCUUGCGCAAUGGGGGGAAGCCUGAUGCAGCAACGCCGCGUGCGGGAAGACGGCCUUCGGGUUAUAAACCACUUUCGCCUUAAACGAAGCGUGAGUGACGGUAACGAGUAAAAAAGCAACGGCUAACUACGUG
Molecule: ribosomal RNA, 468 nt
Filed under: uncultured bacterium
Lineage: Bacteria
Description: partial 16S ribosomal RNA
Rfam family: Bacterial small subunit ribosomal RNA
Source: RNAcentral